GCCACACAGGAGACGAUCGUUUGAAGCGUUGAACUGAUGAGCAUGCGCUCACACCCUGGCUUCUCACUUUAAGCAAGUUAGAGGAGACGAAAAGGAAGCAGACACACCCCUGUCAAGUAGAGUAGGAAAAGAAGAGUAGGAGUAGGUCUGCCCGGUCAUCGCGUCAAACUCGAUCCCCGUCCACCGCGCACGCCGCUGAGGCACCCCGCGCCCGCACGGCGCGUGCAUGGGCGACCCGGCGCCGCCCGCGUGGAUGGCCGCCGCGGCCCGCAAGUGGCUCGAGGACGCCGGCGCCAUCGCGGAGGACGGCGCCGGCGACGGCCGCAGGGCUUUUAACGCGCUGCCGCUGUUCGGCGUGCGCGUGUCCCUUGCCGAGCGCGGCCGCGCCGUCUGCUCGCUCCGCGUGCCCGCCCGCCUCACGGACGCGGACGGGAACUGGCACGCGGGGGCUAUCGCGGCGGCGGUGGACGACGUGUGCGCGGCGGCGAUCAUGUCGGUGGAGGGCAUCAUCAAGGUCUCCGUCCACUACGACAUCUCCUACUUCGCGCCGGCCAAGCACCAUGAGGAAGUGGAGAUGGACGGGAGGGUGGUCGACCGGAAAGGGAGGAUGACGGCGGUGACCACGGAGGUCCGGAAGAAGGAGUCCGGCGCGCUGGUGGCGAUCGGCCGGCAGUGGAUGACCACCUCCAGACCAAAGGGAUAUCAAGGGAGCAAGCUAUGAUACAGCAACGAUGAGAACACUAUCUGUCCAAAUUCAUUGAUUAACUGACAAUGUUAAAUGCUUAUUUGAGGAGCUCUUUUACGGUACCGGGUAAUGAAUACGGGCCCUCCAUUCUGGAAGAUCCAACGGCCCAAAGAGAUAUAUACUGCUGGAAUUGGUUUAACAGUAUAAAGACUGCACUGCUCGAUCAACCAACGUAAGCGGUAUAUGUGAUUUGAGGGCAACUCGGGAAGAUUUUUAAGUUUCAGCUCGUCAGAUUGAGGCGCCCCACGCAUUCUCCCUCGGCGAGCCGAUCUCUCGUCCCUUCCUCGGCCAGCCUGUGCUCGUGGAUCAGGCGCUCGGCGGCAUGGCGCAGGUCUCGGUAGUCGGCACCCGACGUCUCCUGCCUACACCGGAUGUGAGGGCAGAAUGGCGCAGCUUCUGUUCUUCGGCAGGCCGGAUGUGAGGUACCCUCAUCCCACAGGUGACAAGCGCUGACGGAUAAUUUAGUGUUCACCUUUGUAGAGAGUUGGCCAUAUCCAAUGCAAAUUCAGGUUUUAAGCUGCACUACUUGGUUCAGGCUGUUGGCAAUUUCAGUGAUGGGUUUGUUAUUUCCUAGCAGCGGCAGCUAGCCCUUUGGAAGAAAGUUUUUGACAUCACUCGGUUUCUACGAUGCAGCCAAGUAUGGAUAACUGAACUUCUAAUCCAUAACAAGGCGGCGGACGUUCGAGGCCUGUUGGAAGGUUACGGAUUUGUGAGGCUACAAGAGGAGCAUGCAGACAGCUAGAUAUGGAUGGAGUGAACUAGCACGGCGGCAGUGAGGGGGAGUUAGAUGGCCGGGGCGUGCAAUAUGGGAGACGGCGCGUCUGGAUUGAGUCGGCGGCGUUUUCUCUCGACAGUCGACAGCCAUGACAGAUUCCAGAUACAAACUAAUAAGAGUUUGGUUUUCUUUUAAUGUGAAAAAUCAGAGGUCUAAAAUACCCUCAAGAAUUGAACGGUAAGAUUAGAUAUAUACUGCUCCUUUUUCCGUAGCAGUAUAGGUACCAUAAAAGAGCUCUUGUUUGAGGAGUGGAGAUCACCUCCAGUCCAAAGGGAUUUGAAGGAAGCUGCGUUGGGCAUUUCGUUGGUUGACUUGAGUUUCAGAAUAUGCCUACAUCGUGCAUUAUUGCUAGUCACUGUCAUGGGGUUAAUUAAGUCGAGCUGAUCUUAUAUCGUGCUCCUACGGGUACAACAAGGCUAUAGCUGUGGAGGAGCAAGGAAGCGUCCAAGGUCACAAAUCAAGCACACGCAACACACACACACACACACACACACACACACACACACAUGGACGACGGGGCGGCGGAGGCCGAAGCGCUGCGGCUCCGUCUGGCCGCCGUCGCCAGGAAGUGGCUGGAGGACCCGCGCGCGGACUACGCCGGCAAAAUCACCGACGCGGCCAGCCAAAAGGGGCACGCGCUCAACUCGCUGGUGCUGGCCGGCGCACGCAUCUCCCUCUCCGAGCACGGCCGCGUCGUGUGCUCGUUCCACGUGCCGCCGCCGCUCACCGACUCUGACGGGACGUGGCACGCGGGGGCGCUGGCGGCGGCGGCGGACAACAUGUGCUCGGCGGUGGUCUUCACGGUGGUGGGCGCGCCCACGUCCACCGUCCACUACGGCCUGUCCUACUUCUCGCCCGUCGCGUGCAACGAGGAGGUUCAGUUGGACGGGCGGGUGGUGGGCCGGAAAGGGAAGCUCACGGCCGCCGUGGUGCGGGUGCGGAAGAUGGGAUCCGGCGAGCUGGUGGCGAUAGGGAGGCAGUGGAUGACCCCUGCCUGGCCAACGAAGAGCAACAAAAGUAGGAGCAAGCUCUGACACAAGUUAAAAUGUCGUCCGAUCGAUGAUUUCAGAUUUGAGCAUCUCCGUUCAACAUAAUAAAACAAAAGAAAAUCCAUUUUACUAAUGCUCACGCGAGUGAUUGCUUCUUUGAAGUCUAGUUCAGAGAAGAAAAUGCAACUUGCACUUUUCAACGGAGUGAAAAAGCGUCAUAUACACUUCUCACUACGCAGUUGCACCUUUCGGCAGCGACUUAGACGUACUACCUCUGUUAACUUUUUAUAAGGCAUUCUUAGAGUUUAAUAUGCCAGUGAAAAUUCAAAAAAUAUGCUGAUGUCAAAAAACGUCUUAUGUUAGUAGUAUUGAGUUUGGGAGAUAGUACAGAAAAAAGCAUUUCUCAAGACUUGGAUAUACCCUUUUAUUAUGUCAAUUGUGGGAAAAUAUACUGGCGCUACCACUCCUUAGAUGCUACUGUGAUAUAGGGGCACCAAGGCUGUUAAAUCUGUGAUCCAACGAACAACAUCAUCGGACGUGAAUCAAAACAUCAUUUUAGGAAUGUUGAGAGGUUUUCUACAAAAC
This 3094-nucleotide ribosomal RNA is filed under the name Triticum aestivum (bread wheat). RNAcentral describes it as "partial small subunit ribosomal RNA". Lineage: Eukaryota; Viridiplantae; Streptophyta; Magnoliopsida; Poales; Poaceae. The record is from RNAcentral.